Molecule: ribosomal RNA, 465 nt
Filed under: uncultured bacterium
Lineage: Bacteria
Description: partial 16S ribosomal RNA
Rfam family: Bacterial small subunit ribosomal RNA
Source: RNAcentral
CCUACGGGAGGCAGCAGUAGGGAAUCUUCCACAAUGGGCGAAAGCCUCAUGGAGCAACGCCGCGUGGGUGAAGAAGGUCUUCGGAUCGUAAAACCCUGUUGUUAGAGAAGAAAGUGCGUGAGAGUAACUGUUCACGUUUCGACGGUAUCUAACCAGAAAGCCACGGCUAACUACGUGCCAGCAGCCGCGGUAAUACGUAGGUGGCAAGCGUUAUCCGGAUUUAUUGGGCGUAAAGGGAACGCAGGCGGUCUUUUAAGUCUGAUGUGAAAGCCUUCGGCUUAACCGGAGUAGUGCAUGGGAAACUGGGAGACUGGAGUGCAGAAGAGGAGAGUGGAACUCCAUGUGUAGCGGGGAAAUGCGUAGAUAUAUGGAAGAACACCAGUGGCGAAAGCGGCUCUCUGGUCUGUAACUGACGCGGGGGUUCGAAAGCGUGGGUAGAAAAAAGGAUUAGAUACCCGAGUAGUC